This 1529-nucleotide ribosomal RNA is filed under the name uncultured Shewanella sp. RNAcentral describes it as "16S ribosomal RNA". It matches the Rfam family "Bacterial small subunit ribosomal RNA". Lineage: Bacteria; Pseudomonadati; Pseudomonadota; Gammaproteobacteria; Alteromonadales; Shewanellaceae. The record is from RNAcentral.
AGAGUUUGAUUCUGGCUCAUAUUGAACGCUGGCGGCAGGCCUAGCACGUGCGAGUCCCACGCAGGGAUGCACACUGGGAGUUUACUUCUGAGGUGGCUAGCGGGGGACGGGUGAGUAAUGCCUAGGGAUCUGCCCACUCUAUGGGGAUGACAUUUGGAUACGACUGCUCAUACCGCAUCACGCCCUCACUGGGGGAAAGGAGGGGACCUUCGGGCCUUCCUCGAUUGGAUGAACCUAGGUGGGAUUAGCUAGUUGGUGUAUGGUAAUGGCUCACCAUCGCGACUGAUCCCUAUCUGUUCUGACAGGAUGAUCAGCCCCACUGGACACUGACACACUGCCCACACUCCUACGGGAGGCAGCAGUGGGGAAUAUUGCACUUUCGGGGGAAACCCUGAUGCAGCCAUGCCAUCGUGUGUGAAGAACGCCUUCGGAUUGUAAAGCACUUUCAGUAAGGAGGAAAGGGUGUAGCUUAGUACCCUAUGUCUGUGACGUUACCUACGCAACAAUGACUGGCUAACUCCUUGCCUGCAUCCGCGGAAUUACUGAGGGUCCUAGCGUUACUCCGAAUUACUGGACUUACUGCGUGCGCAGGCGGUUUGUUAAUCGAUUAUGUGAAAGCCCUGCGCUCGACCUAGGAAUAGCAUUUCGAACUGCUCGAACUAGAUAUCUGUAGAGGGCGGUAUAAUUCACACGUGUAUCGGUGAAAUGCUUAGAGAUCUGGAGGAAUACCGGUGGUGAAGGUGGCCCUCUGUACAAAGACUGACGUUCAUGCAGGAAAGUGUGGGGAGCAAACAGGAUUAGAUACCAUGGUAGUUCACGCAGUAAUCGAUGUAUACUCGGAGUUUGGUGUCUUGAACACUGGGCUCUCCAGGUUACGCAUUAAGUAGUCCGCAUGGGGAGUACGGCCGCAAGGUUAAAACUCAAAUGAAUUGACGGGGGCCCGCACAAGCGGUGGAGCAUGUGGUGUAAUUCGAUGCAACGCUAAGAACCUUACUUACUCUUGACAUCCACGGAAUUGGCUAGAGAUAGCUUAGUGCGUUCGGGAACUGUGAGACAGGUGGUGCAUGGCUGUAGUCAGUUCGUGUUGUGAAAUGUUGGGUUAAGUCCCGCAACGAGCGCAACCCCUAUCGUUAUUUGCCAGCAGGUAAUGGUGGGAACUGUAGGGAGACUCCCGGUGAUAAACCGGAGGAAUGUGGGGAGGAUGUCAUGUCAUCAUGGCCCUUUCGAGUAGGGCUACACACGUGCUACAAUGGCGAGUACAGAGGGUUGCAAAGCCGCGAGGUGGAGCUAAUCUCACAUAGUCUCAGUCGUAGUCGGGAUUGGAGUCUGCAACUUGUACUCCAUGAAGUCGGAAUCGUUAGUAACUCUUGGAUCAGAAUGUCAUGGUGAUUACGUUCCCGGACCUUGUACACAUCCGUCCGUCAUACCAUGGGAGUGGGCUGCAAAAGAAGUUGGCUAGCUUAACCUUGCGGGGGGGCGCUCACCACUUCGUGGUUCAUGACUGGGGAGAAGUCGUAACAAGGUAACCG